CCUUGAUGUUUGACCUGUUGACCACUGCACCGGCGCCGCUAGCCAGGGGCGGGCGCGCGAGCGGCCUGGGCGCGGCCGGAGGCGGGCACGCGUGCGGCCUAGGCGCGGCCGGAGGCGGGCGGCGCGCGUGCGGCCUGGGCGCGGCCUAGGCGCGGCCGGAGGCGGGCGCGCGUGCGGCGGACCUGGACAGCAGCAGCUUGGCCGGGGGCGGUGCGGCCUGGCCUGGGGCGGCGCGGCGGCGGAGAUCGGGCGCAGGUGGCGGCGGCGAUGGGGAUCUGCUGGAGGCGUCGUGAAUGGGAAGGAUGUGUGCGAGGAUUUUUUUUUUUUUUUUUUACAGAAACAAGCCACGGCCCACGGGUGGGUGUUUUGUUGGGCUUUAGGGUUAGCUCUUCGCCGAGUGACAUCGUCUCGGGCACUCGGCGAAGAAAAUGAUUUUUUAAU
RNAcentral lists this long non-coding RNA (441 nucleotides) under Sorghum bicolor (sorghum). Its description in RNAcentral is "long non-coding RNA (SBIC_LNC016986)". Lineage: Eukaryota; Viridiplantae; Streptophyta; Magnoliopsida; Poales; Poaceae. The record is from RNAcentral.